CAAGGCCAGAAUGAAGAGAAGCUGCGAGUCAGUAUGGAACUCAGAGGUCCCCGAGUGGAUAUCCACGUGGAAAGGAUGUUGGCAGCCCGGGUGACCUCGGAGUCACGGCUGGAUCCACCCUCCCGCCUGAUUUUCUUAACUCCACCCUGCUGAGAAGAUGCCCUCCAGGAGGCUGUGCUUGCAGACUCCACGGAGCCUCUCUCAAGAUUUCCUGAACCUUGUGGAUUUACAGUAAGACGAAGUUC
Molecule: long non-coding RNA, 245 nt
Filed under: Rattus norvegicus (Norway rat)
Lineage: Eukaryota; Metazoa; Chordata; Mammalia; Rodentia; Muridae
Description: partial Pvt1
Rfam family: Pvt1 oncogene conserved region 3 (bases 161-245)
Source: RNAcentral